This 1395-nucleotide ribosomal RNA is filed under the name Triticum aestivum (bread wheat). RNAcentral's name for it is "partial small subunit ribosomal RNA". The record is from RNAcentral. Lineage: Eukaryota; Viridiplantae; Streptophyta; Magnoliopsida; Poales; Poaceae.
AUGUACGCAGCCGGCCACAUAUUCUGGCAAACUGAUGUCGCCAGGCUGCUGGUGCUAGACACGAGCACCAUGGAGUUUUCAGAGCACGGUGUCCCAUGGGAGAUAGUCUCUACCAGUUGGUCCAUCGGAGAGCUCCGAGAUUGCAAGGGCUGCCUCGUGUGCCUCCAAGGCCUCAAUAGCUCGUUCGGCAAAGAUGGCUUCAUAGUGGAGGAGCCUCUCCGCCUGGAAGUCUGGGCACUAAAGAAGGAGGAUAAACAAGUUAAAUUUUGUUGGAAGUGCGAGAAGGGUGUUCGGGUGAGCGAGAUGCUCCCGGAGGACGACGCUCGUGUGUACAAAGUCCACAAGGUCAUCAACGGACUAGCGCUAAUUGGCUGCACCAAGGGCUCCUAUGCUAUUGACUUGCAGAGCAUGACUCUGUUGGCAAAGUUUGAGUCUGGUGGAGAUAUUUAUCCAUACCAGAUGUCGUGGCCACCUGCUGUGCUGGCUGCUGCUACUAGUGUGGUAUCCAGGCAUUUGGGAGCCAACCUGUCUAAUGAAGACUGUGCUCGGAUUCCUAGCAAGAACAUGGAUGGCCGAGAAGGCACUUCUUCUGGUGGAUCGGAAUCUGAAGUACACAUCAGCCAGACUCCUCUGAGUUUAGAGCAACAUGACAUUGGUGAGAAAUCAAGUCAAGAUCUGCAUGGUUGUAGUGCUAGGAUUCAGCCAAUGGAAAAGGAUCCGUGUCAUGAUGAACUGACUCUGCAAACGGCUGGUGUUUUCCCUUCUGAAAGCUGUGACAGGGAUAUUCUAGAAGAUAAAUCUGAAACCGACAGCCUGCCAAAGAAUACUACAGAAGAUACUGAAAUGUUGGAGCAACAACAUAGUGAUAAGGCUCACAUAGAAGUCAGUUGUGCCGACAAAAUGAGUGAAGUGCUCUAUGAUGAUAACAAUACCUUGAAGAAGAAUACAAUCUGUGGUGGGAAGGUUGCUAUAGAGUGCCACUUGGCCUUAUUACAUAAUAAAAGUUCAGAAGCUAGGAGUAACGCCAUUUCAUCUCCAAUGCAGAAGAGGCCCUUUGCGUGCCAGUGCCAUGUAGAUGGUUGCACCAUGAGCUAUGACAGUAAGAACAAUUUGGCCAAGCAUUUUAGGGAAGUCCAUGAGCAGAAGAAACGUUUCGCACGGAGAUUCAGUGGGUGCAGCGAGGAGUUUUCUUCAAAGAAUAAAAGGAAGAUUCAGGAGGGAUCUAGUGCUCAUGUUGAGCUUUCCACCAAUAGGAUUAAUUGUGUCAGCACCUCUCCUGUCGGUGGACCAGAAGCCCAUGAAGAGCCCAGGCCCGCACAAGUGGUGGGCCGUCGCACAAGCAACCGACCACGUAAACCGAACAAGCUAGUAAGUGGAGACGACUGGGUCGUUUGA